ACCUAUUUCCCUCCAAAUUAUUAUAUUUCAUUCAUUACCCCAGUGUCUAGUGUACAUACACUGGGAAACCUAGUACUUCUAAUAUGAAGAAUGGGAGAAAUGAAAGGUAUAAUGUUUCUUGAAAUAAAUAAUAUAAUUGUCCUUGUUAAUUAUAUUAUGAGGACAGAAGAUACUCUGAUAAGAGAGAACGUGGUGCUUUGCUUACUGUUUUAAAGAAAAUUUGUAAAACUAAAGACUUUUUGGAAAAAAGCUAUCUUAAGUGCUUUUUCUUUAUUUACAAGACAUUUCCCCCCGUGGUAGCAUCUGAAGUAUUGGAGUGUUCUGCCACGAAGCAAAGCUCCAGUCAUGGCCGUCACUGAAGGUUAUUUAUUAAUGUUACGUAACAGUAGAAUAUUACUAGUUCGAGGGUUGGAUUUGACUUGGUCCUAAGGCCACAGAAUCUCUCUCAUGGCUUCCUAAGGGACGUACCUUUAUGCUUUUAAGAACUACAAAGAUUCAAUAAAGAAAGAAGUGUUUUUGAAACUAUAGAAAAAGAUUUUAAAACACGCUGCUGUCCUAAACAAAUCCUGUUUAAAGGAAUUUUAAAGAGAUGCAUUUUACUAUAUCAGAGAACAUACAUGUAUUUGCCUAAACACUCUGUACCUUUGUAAUGAUGAAACUUCCCCCUCUACGUGAUCGGAAGAGGGAUCAUAUCCUUCCAAUACCUGUGAUCGAUCCCAUCCAACCCUCCCUUUUCUGCAUGAGGCCUGACGUGGAUGCUACUUCCCCAAACCUACACGUUCAGUACACGGCAGAGCCUAAACUGGAGGUCGGUCUGGUGGGGGUUCUGGUUUGCCCAAAAGAGAUGUGGGGUAAAUGAGAGAGUGAUGGCAUCAGGCUCAUUUGCUGACCAGAACCCUGGGCUGACUUAGAGAAUGGUAACGAAAAGACAGGAUAGAUGAAGAAGUGGGAGAAAUGGGGCCAUGCACGUGUGUGUGUGUGUGUGUGUGUGUGUGUGUUCUAAUAUUGGAAUGUGCUUGCGAUAUUACAGUACAAUGACAAGUGACAGACUGGAUUAAGAAAAUGUGGCAUAUAUAUACCAUGGAAUACUAUGCAGCCAUAAAAAAGGAUGAGUUUGGGUCCUUUGUAGGGACAUGGAUGCAGCUGGAAACCAUCAUUCUCAGCAAACUAUCACAAGAACAGAAAACCAAACACCGCAUGUUCUCACUCAUAGGUGGGAACUGAACAAUGAGCUCACUUGGACUCAGGAAAGGGAACAUCACACAGUGGGG
RNAcentral lists this long non-coding RNA (1271 nucleotides) under Piliocolobus tephrosceles (Ugandan red Colobus). RNAcentral describes it as "lncRNA (ENSPTEG00000031273.1)". The record is from RNAcentral. Lineage: Eukaryota; Metazoa; Chordata; Mammalia; Primates; Cercopithecidae.